GAUCCAGCAAUGCCGCGUGAGUGAAGAAGGCCUUCGGGUUGUAAAGCUCUUUCAGUCGAGAAGAAAAGGUUGUGACUAAUAAUCAUAACUKAUGACGGUAUCGACAGAAGAAGCACCGGCUAACUACGUGCCAGCAGCCGCGGUAAUACGUAGGGUGCAAGCBUUAAUCCGAAUUACUUGGCGUAAAGGGUCCGSAAGCGGUUCUYUAAGUCRMAUCUCAAAUUCCCSGGCUUAACCUBGGGACUUGG
RNAcentral lists this ribosomal RNA (248 nucleotides) under Nitrosomonas sp. RNAcentral describes it as "partial 16S rRNA". It matches the Rfam family "Bacterial small subunit ribosomal RNA", at positions 385 to 625 of the family's 1533-position model. The record is from RNAcentral. Lineage: Bacteria; Pseudomonadati; Pseudomonadota; Betaproteobacteria; Nitrosomonadales; Nitrosomonadaceae.